CGUUCUUUUGAGUUGUUCAUUGCUGUGCGUUGCCAGGUCCCUUCUGCUGUAUAUCCUGGAGGUCUUCACUUCUCCGAUCCAGCAUAGUUCGGAAACCAGUGACCCAAAUUGUAGCUGGAGUUCUAUGCUUAGAAGUGUAGUAGUCAUUUUGCAGUUAGAGCGUUUAUGGAAUUGAAUGUCAUGAUAUUAUUGCAUUAAAAUCUCUAUAUUCUUUUGAGUUUUUAUAUAGUAAGCCUAUGUGAAGGCUUCGAAAUCAUUUUCAGAGAUGCGAACCUACAACUACGCGCUUGUCAAAGUCGACAAUGUAGCUUUGUAAGUAACCCUCUAACCGCCAAAAAAGUUCCCACCCCCCGAAGAUGAAUUUUACCAUACGCCGUAUCAAGAAAUUAACGUUAUGAAAAGUGACUGGUGACCGUAUUAAAUCGAAACGAAGUAAUGAAUGAAUAACCUUAAUCCUUCAGAAAAAAUGGUUUAACAUUUUGUUUCUGUUCAAAGAACAGCUCAUAAUAACUGACUAAAAUUUAAGACAAGAUCUACAAACCGGGCACCGCAACGCCUGUCGCAAAAAAAAUAACAAUAAAUAAUGUUAUUGAACCCGACAACGUCGUGAAACGUAAAAAAGAGCAAAGCACGAGUUAUCGAUACCCAUACGCACUAUCCGUCGCUGUAUAGGUGGUAUUAAUGGAUUCCUGUUCGGGGCAAUUCCACCCCACAGUGGAAUUACGUCACGGUGGUCAAUUCGAAGAAACCGCGAAAGUGUGGCAGGCAAUUAAAUUGAACAUCACCUUUCGUAUU
Long non-coding RNA from Wyeomyia smithii (pitcher-plant mosquito), 795 nucleotides. RefSeq lists it as uncharacterized. NCBI's taxonomy places the organism in Eukaryota, Metazoa, Arthropoda, Insecta, Diptera, Culicidae. The record is from RefSeq and is a predicted model, not a curated record. The transcript has 3 exons.